CCCUGCUACCUUAACUUUCCUGUGUUAAGACUAAGAAAAAGGAAAUGGGUCAUUUCACUUCAUUGCAAAAUGGUACUUACUGGAUUGUUUUACUUAAAAUAGAACCUGUAGUUUAAUGAGUCUCUAAUUCUGAUAACCUUGUAUGCUUUUUAAGUUUGUGCAGGCUUAUGUUACACCAAUUACAUUUAAACUGCUACAUACACUUUUAAAAGUAUAUUUGGUUCAUAUAUCAUCUACUGCCUAUUUUUAGUUGUGUGUUCUCACUCUGUCUUGAUUUCAGAGAACUCUGAUAUAUUUGUAUGAUUUACCAAAUCUCCAAUAAUCUGCACUUUGAGUGAACCCAUCCAUCACAGCAGAUGUCCUUUCAAAAUUGUAUUGACUUGCAACUAUCCGUACCCAGCUUUGUUUGUAAAUCAUCACUAACAUUUUUAAUAAGUUUUAAUUUUUCAUGAACUGUUUUUAGUGGCCAUCUAGGAUUUCAAAUAAUGUAGAGGGAACAAACGAGUUAUGACGUGAUUCUCAGGGCUAAGAAAGAAAACAGAUGCUUUUCAAGUUUCUAUCUAUGGUGUGAUCUCAAGCCCAGUCAUAAGAGCCUGAAUCUUUACAAAAUGUUUCUAAAAUUAAGUACUCACAUAAUGUGCUGUACUUUUUGUAUUGUGGCUCUCAUCACGCUUUAGUCUACUGGCUUGAUAAUUGUUGGUCUGUGUAGGAGACUACAAUCUGUGACCUCAGACAGGUCCACCUUUUUACUGGUCUGUCAUUUGUAUCUCUGUCGAGCACCUUGCAGGUACAAAACAAAUUUUGUUGAAUUAGUGAGGAUUACUUUGACUAGUAGGAGUAUUUCACCCAUUUCCUUUGCAUGUUGGCUGCGACAUAAUGUUAUUUAAGUGGUAACUUAUUUAGUAAUUGAAAAUAAUACUUUGUGUGCAUGCAUUCAGACUUAUUUCUUGAAUUAUCUAAAAAGGGUCUGAAAAUAUCUAGAGUGUCCAAAGGACAGAGCUAGCUCUACUGUCAGGUGGAUUGCUCAAUGGAAAGCCUGCAUCAAUAAGUUUCUAAGACCCUUUAUGACACCUGGUGGUACAUGCAAUUCAGAUUAUAUGCAAAAUCUAUUCUAUAUAUUAUAUUUAAAUUUAUUUGUCUAAAAAUGAUACUAUUUAAUAUUAAGAUUAAUAGUACAUGCAUGUAACUCACAAAAAAUAUGAUAAUUGAGGGAACAUUCCAUUUUUUGAGACAAAUACAAGUAUGUGAUUUUUCAAAAAUUUAUUAUUAUACAAGACCACCAUCAAUACGUAUGUAGAACACCACGGUAAUGUAAAAUACAAAAUGGUGAUGCAUGAACAUGUUUCCUCUUCAUUGACAUAAAUGCAGAUGGUGUAAACCAUACCCUUUAACUCUGCACAUGUUUUAAGCUAACUUUUAGAGAUCACAUUUGUAGGAAAAUUCUAGAAACCAUAAUAAAUGACAGAUUCAGACAGGAACAGAACAGAGGAACCCACAGUACAGGUGGUGUGGAGAACCAAUGAAAAAGUGAGAUUUCCCAAUAAAACUCUGGAAAAUUCCCUUUAGCUGGCAGUGACAAGAGCUUAGAUAUUGCUAAAUGGAGCCAGAGAGGCCAGCUGGAGUUUGGAGGUGAGUGGUUUCAACAGCAACAAAGGGAGCUAGAAGACUGGAGGCUUUAUCUUCAAGUAGUCAGGGAAAAUCAUUGUUUACCUAGAAUUGUAUACUUCUGAACCUUUAAAUAAGAAGAACAAACCAGAGGUUUCUGCAAAUAAAAAUGGAGAGCCUUUCACAUCAGCAGAUCUGCAUUAAAUACGAAGUGAUUUCGAAGGAAGGUCUAACAUGCAAGGAGGAAUCGUGAUUAAAUAAAAUAGAAAAUACCUGUGUGAUGAUAAGCAAACAUUUACCAUACUGAAAUAAUUACAUUUUAUAAUUGAUGCGGUUAAAGUAAGAGAAAUUCAUGUGGAAUAACAAGAGACUCCAAGUUGAGAAAUGACUAAAUAGCAUUAAAGCAUUCUGAGUUCCUUUUAUGAGGAGCAGUAUGAAAAGAUUAAUUAGCUUUAGUGUUUAAGUGAACAUACAUGUUAAAUUGUAUAAGAAAAGAGCUAAUAGAAUAGAAACAAUGUUUAAACACCACAGUGUGGAGCGAUUUUAAAUACAGUGAUUUACUAUUUAGUUAAACAUGCAAAAUUUUAAUACUGACAGUAGAGGGCAGGGUAUCCUUGAUACUGUGUUGAUAGUUUCUUGACAUUGCAAAGCAUAUCUAAUGUUAUCCCUGAAAUUGUAUAUUUCUUGUGUUGAGCCAGAUAUUAGAGAUAUUAUGUUUAAACAUGAUUAACUUUUUAUUAAAAACAGAAAUCUUGACAGGACUUGUGUCAUAUUAGGACAUAGCUUUUAGGCAAGGAAAUGUUGUAUAUAUUAUUAGUCUUUGGAUUCAGGAAAUCUAUGGAGUUUUGCUAAUGCAUUUUGAAAGUCACUUCUUUUUUCCUUGAAAAUAAUUUUGAAGUUUCUUGGCUAAAAAAGAGAAAAAGAAAAAAGGAUGGUGAGUGCCCCAUUUUCCCAGGUUAAAGAUAAUCCCUAAAUAAUGGCCAACAUUAUUUCUGGAUGUGAUCCUCUGGUUACAUGGUUUUGUAUCCUGUAAAUAACUCAAAAAUUCUUUAGGAUUCUGAAUCCCUUGCAACACUUUUGUUGUUCAGUGCAGACAAAAUUUAGUCUUAUAUCCUGUCUUAAUUGUAUUAGCCUAUAGGAAACAUUGAAAUGCUUCUUUCUGAAUAAAUGAGGUUAUUUUUUGCUACUGCCAUCUAUAUAUCAUUAUAAUUAAAAGGUCCAGGCACAGAAUAUAACAGGAUUUUUACAUCCUCUAAUUAGUCAUUUAGGACAAUAGCCUAGGUUAUCCUGUGGUAACAGGUGACCCACAAUAUCAGUGACUAACAUGAACAAAAAUUUACUUCUCACUUAUUCUACAUAGUCUCCUGAGUUGGUCCCAGUGCUGCUCCAUGUUGUAUUCACUCUGGACCCCUGGUUGAUGGAGCCCUUAUCUGGAAUAUUCUGGUCUAGCACAGAAGUAAAAAGAAACUGGCAAACUGCAAUGGCCCUUAAAUUUCUACUUGCAAGUGGCACAUGCCACUUCUGCUCACUCUUCACAAGUCAUAUGACCAAGAUUGACAUCAGUGAAGUGAGGGAGUAUAAUCUUUCCCAAGAGAUGGGCUGCAAAUAUUUACAGAAAAUAACACAAUCUGCUACAGUGUCUUUACGAUAUUUCUUAGAAAUCUAGCUAAAAUUUUAGUCAAUUGGUUUGUGAAAACUACUUAAAUGACUUCUGUUCUAUAAAUGUUACUGUUAUUUACUCUUUAGUCUUAGAAAAAGUUUAGGAAUCUAGUAAAUGGAGCAUUUAGAAAUGUUGGUGAUUAUUGAUAGCAAGGAAAAAAGUUUUAUAGGUCUCGAAAAAUGAAAUGGUAAUAGGAUUAUGGGUUGACUUUGCUUUUUCACAGUGAUGGGCUGGCAAAGAUCUGGAACUCUGGGUGUCCUCUUUUCUAUGUUUCUGGUGAAAAUUAUAGGUCUGUAAAAGAUACAGGAAAAAAAAAGAUAUUUUUCUUUGUAAAAAUAAGUUGUAAGUCUUAGAAGCCUACCUUAAUGAAUAUAGUGUUUUAAAUCUACAAGGUAACUUCAUGAAUUUUUUCAUAUAAGUUUCACAAUAGCCCUGGUACAUUAGCAGGUGAUAUUAAUGCCAUUUUCCUGUGGAAGAUUCAGAUUUAGAGAGAAUUGGCUCAAGGUCAUUUGACUGGGCCACAAUAACAUUAAGACUGAGUUUAAAUUUCUGAUCUUCUUUUUCCUGCCCAUAGAUCAUGUAACUUCUCAAUUAUUUUAGCAGUCUUAUGUAACCUUGGUUCAUUCUGUAUUCAUGGAUGCGGCUGUCAAAUAAAUUCUGCUAAAGACCUACUAUUAAAAAAUCAAAAAGCUGGCACAACUUGUUGAUUAUUUUUCAAUGCUACUUCAUGAACUCAAGGAAAACUAAAUAUUGUUGAAAUAUUUUUUUCUCACAACUUUGAAUUUUAGGCAAUUUAAAAUGAGUACAACCAUAUUGCCCAAUGUUUUUAUACUUAUGAGACAAAUUCACCAAGUGACAAUAAUUUGGAAAUUAAGGAAAAAUAUUGAGAUCAUAGGACUUGUUAAACUAAAUAUUUCUAAAUUAAAAACGGGCCCAAUAUCAUCUCCUUCUUUCUCUCUCCAUUUUGGAAGGCUGAGUAUUGCCUUCUAAAUUUCAGGUCUGCACAUCUAUCCUGACAAGAAGGGGCUAAAUCCCAUUCUGUUAGAAAAGUUACCUACCUUAUUUAUGCCCCCUAGGAAUCCAUAACCGUUUGCCCACCAAAUCACUGUAAGUGACAAUUCACAUUAACUGGUAAGUUUCUUUAGAACUAGACUGUAUAGAGACCCAAAAGAAUAUUUGAGAAUGAGUGAGCCCAGACUAUGGAAGGAGAACCACAAUUAUUGCAUUUCCCCUAUUGUAUGACAGUUUAAUUAUUAAAGGCGUAGACUUAAGUUUGAAUCUUGCUUUCCUACUUUGUAGGUAGGUCAAGGGUUGGCAAACCAUGGCCAGUGAACCUGCCACCUGUUUGGGUAACACUGCCACGUUCACUGGUUUGAGUAUUCUCUCUGCAUGCUUUUGCACAAUGCAGCACAGUGGAAUGGUUGUGACUGAGACCUUACGGCAGCACAUCUGAUAUUUACUCGCUAGCCCUUUAAGAAGUGUGUCGACCUCUGUUCUAGAUGCAUGAUCUUGGCUAAGCUACCUAAAUUUCUGUGCCUCCCUUUUCUAAUUAUAAAAUGUGAAUAAUAGUCUUUACCAAGUUGGGUUUAUAUGAGGAUUCAAUGAGUCACUCUGUAUAAAAACUUAGCAUAGUGUUAGGAUGUAGAAGAAGAGCAUCAUAAAGACUGAUAAAGCCAUAAUCAUAUCUAGAAAAUAUAAAAUAACAUGCAUUUCCUGUUCACUCAGGAAAAAAUUGGUAAAAAAAAUCAUGUAAGAGAAUAAAUCUCUGGUUGUUUAGUGAAGGAUCUGGAUCCUUUUUGUGUUGUUUCAUUUCUGCUCAGUCUCUUUUCUGUGUCCCAUGUAAUUCUAGUCUCCUGCAGAUCUGUUCCGGACUGUCACUUCUUGUAGCCAGCCCUUCUUUAUUAUUUGUGGAAAAAUCUGCAUGUCUACAUCUGGAAUUGCUCAAAGGUCACUCAGACUCAGAUCUAUUCAACCUGCCCACAAAUAUAAGACAGAUGGAAAUAAAUAACCCACUAGAAAAUCCACUUGACGAUUCAGAUGAUUUCAUCUGAGCUCAGAUGAUCUCUGCUGGAUUUGUUCAGAUAGCUGCUGUCAGCUCCAUGUCAGCUAGGAGUCUUUCUGAUCUUGCUGGCCUUCCUCCUAUCUCUCAUGAUGGCCCUCGCCUGGAUAGAGUGCCUCAGCUCUGUUCCACACAGGUGUCAUCUUCCAGGAGGUCAGCUCAGGAAAGAAGUCUUUAGGCAGAGAGGAGCUCAAUGAAAGUGGAGCACCUUCUGCUCUUGGAACAUUCCAGUGAAGGAGAAAGAUGGAUCUGAGAACGCUGUCUGGGCUUGGUGCCAAGCGCUGGUAUUUCACAGCAGCGACCGCCUCACAGACGAGCUGUGGGAAGCAGGAGGGAGACUCUCUCUUAGGGUGGAGACACAGCUGGGCUGAACAAGAUUUGCUUCAAACGACAACAAGAGAGACAGAAAGUAUCUGGUUCAACCGCUGCCCAAGCAGGCAGGCACCAGAAGAGCUAGCAGCCAAUCCGGCCAUGCUCGAAGCCAGCUCUGCAGCUCAGCCAAUCAGUGACAUCACUGCAGUUUUAUUUGGAAUGCCCCUGGUGAUAUAAAGAUGGGAAAGAACAAUACCCACCCAGUGCUUCCCUUGAAGAAAUUCCAAUAUUCUGGAAAUCAGUCUACAGAUGCGCGGCUGGUGGUGUGGCUCCGACAGAGCAAGGGUUACAUCAAGGCUGUUCUCUGGACCGUGCAAACAGUCUAGACCAAUGACCUGCAGCAUCAUGCCCUUUGAAGAAGAGGCAAGUUCGGUCAUGAUGAAGAAAAAUCAAGGCGUACCCCUUUUAACAAUAGGGAGCAGCUCGAGGCUGCAAAGAGGUUAUUGAUCAUUAAAAUGGCAUUGUAAAGGGAUGACUCAGAAAUAACAGUAAGUCUUAAUUAUUUGAAAGACAUACUUUAAUGUUGUACUAAAACAUAUGACAGCAUAUUUGGCAUUUUUUCCCGUUCUAAUUUUGUGGGCUAGUAUAGGGCAUAGAAUGUGAACAGAAACCCCUAGACCUCAAAGUAUAUUUUUAUUUGAAGCCAAAAUAUUUUUAACUAAACUGUGCUAGUCAAUAAUUUUUGGAUUUGGCAAACUGUAGUACAGUCCUAUUUUUGAGAAAAGUCAACAAAGUGUUUCCCUUCUAAUUCAAUAUCCUUAUUUUCCCUGAAACAAUUUUUCCUUUUGGUGCAAAGGCUUAUGAACUUAGUGUUUUUACAGGAACAAUAAUACAUUGUUUCUUUUGCUAUGCUGAAAAUAAUUAAUGUUUAUGUUGGAUUUAAACUUUUGUCAGUCAGAAGAUCUACUGACUAAACCAGAUGAGAUAGAUAUGAUAAGAUUUCUUUCUUUAUUAGAGUUAGAUGAUCCCUGUUGGUAAUACACUUAUAUUUCAUGUUUAUAUAUUAUCAUUGCUUUUUUAAGCCAUGAAUCUUAAUAUGUUUCAUAUUUAUAAUAAGCUAUUUUGAUCAGCCAUAUGUUUUCUUCUGAAAUGGACAUAUAUCCUCACAAUAGACUAGAAGAAUAUUUUUUCUAGUGGUUAUUCAUUAGAAUAAUUUAAAAUAUCUGCUCUGGCUAAAUUAUUAACCAAUACUUUAACACAGUAUUAUUUUAAUGCAACAGAUUUACUUUCUCUCCUGACAUUAAAAUAUAUUUUUCUGUUUGUAACAUUUCUACCCAAAGACAGUUGGAGAAAAAAUGCACUUAACAAAGAUAGCCUCAGUAAUAAAACACAGAAAAACAACAUUAAAUGCAAAACAGUGGGUGAAUUUAAAUAUAUGUGUACACACACACACACAUAGAAAUGAAAUGGCUAAAUAGUAUUAUAUCAUUGCAUAUCUUAUAGAUAUGUAAUUAUGUAUCAUAUAAGUAUAUAAUGAUAUAGGAUAUAUUUAAAUACAUUAUAUAAGUACAUAUAAGUAAAUUAUAUAAGUAUAUAUAAAUAUUUAAAUAUAUGUGACUAUAUAGACAUAUAAUUAUAAAAGCAAUAUGUUGUAAAACUCAAAACAGACUCAUACUAACCUUUUCCUCCUCUUAGUCUCCAUCCCCCUCCCUGAGAUAGUCAAUGUCAAAGUGUGCUAUGUUCCCCUGUACCUCACUCAGGAGAGUUUCUCCAACCUCAGAAAGCACAGAUGCAUAUCUCUUUUGUCAGAAAGAAGUAGUUUUGUUUCUGAUAUAUUUUUUUUAUGACCAAAAUAUCAAGAACAUUGCUCUUCACCUUGUCUUUCAUAGCUAUCCCUUCAGGUUAAUAUGCAUAAUAUUCCAUAUUUUGCCACACUACUUGUAAUUAAAUCAAAAAUCUGGAUGUUCACCAUCCUUUUUUUAUGACAGCCAUAGAUGAGAAAAUACCUGUAUUGCCAUGAAUGGCAAAUCUCAGUGAUGUUUUCAUUCCAACUCUGAGAGGCAUGAAAAUGACUCCAGGGCCUAUGUUAGAACAGAUAUCAAGAUUUCUGAAGUGAAUAGUAACUCAGUAAACGUGAGUUCUUGUCCUGAUCUAUCUGUGAUGUGUUGUUAUCCAUCUCCAAUACUAUCUGAUCCUUAUUAUAGGAUACAUGCUGCUCUGAUGUAAGGGUUGCAUUCUUCAGACACCACAAUUGAUGAAAAAAAAGAAUCACAUUAUAAGAUUACGUGUUUCAGUAUAAAGGAAUGAGUUAGAGAAUGGAUUUGCUAUUUUACUACCAUCAGUGGUUAAAAUAUUCAGGAUUUUCUUUAAGAUUAGGUAAUAUGAAAGAGAGAAAAAUAAAUUAAGCCAUAGACUUUUACAAAUGAACAUAAUUCAAGGAAAAUAAACAUAGUGAAAACAUAGUUGAGGGUAAAUAACAUUACUUAAUGAAAACAUUAAGCGAUUUUGUUUAGAAUGACAUUGGUCAUUAGAAAGCUAUAGGUAUGUAUAAUAUAAACUAUUAUAACAUAUAUAUUCAUUAUUUAAAUAUAGUACAUGUAUACUGAUAUUUAUUAUAUAUUUAUAUAUUCUCUAUAUUAUAUAUCUUCCAUACUGAUAGAUGCAUCUGACUUUUGACCAUAGAAUAUUUGUAUUUUAUAAAAUUUAAAUCCUAACAUGACAGUAUGACAAACCUAGACUGAACUUUUAAAAAGGUUUUCAAAUUAAUAAGUUUUAAGUCUCUGUGUGAGAGUACGGUGUUUGCGUAUGUAUUCAUAGCAUUGAGCCUACAUUUGGAGUUAACACUGUGGAUCAGGCAGUUUUAGCCCAGCUGAAGUAUGAAGAGAAAAUUGACAAGAAUGAUUUAAUUCGGUCUACCAAUAUUUAUUGAACAUUUACUAUGAGCUACAUAGGCUUCUAAGUGGUGCACUUACAUAGAUGUAAGUCCUGACAAGCAUGGCUCUUAACAUUCUUGUGGCCAUGAUGGAGGCAGAGGAAGGGCAGACAUUAAACCAACGAUCAAACAGAUAAAAAAUAUCAUACUGUUUUGUGAUGAAUAAAGUUGAGUGGGAGACUUGGGGGAAGGUAUCCUCUCUUUGAGGCUGGGGAAGACUUUUCUGAGUUAGUAGCAUAUGAGAAGAGACUUGCUAUGCACUUGUCUAGGAAAGAGUAUCCCAGCAGAGGGAAGAACCCAAGUCAAGUUUCUAAGGAGAAAGUAUAUGGUACAUUAGAGCAAUACCCAAGUGUCCAAUAUGGUGGGGCAAGCCCAUGUAAAGUUCUUCUUGGUCAUGUUAAGAAUAUUGGAUUUUUUUUCUAAGUCAAAUGGGAAGCCAUCCAUCAGAGGCUAUUGAUCAGAGAUGUGAAUUGAUUUAGAUUUUUAAGAGUUCACUUUGUUGUGUAAAGAAUAGCCUGAGGGAGAAAGGGAAGAUCAGUUAAAUACUUAUGAUAGUACUUCAGAAGAGUAGACUUCUUUAGGCUAGGUGCUUUUAAAUAGAAUGAUUUAAAUCUGUUGCUUCUUUAGUCUAGUUUCCUGAGGACUGCUUUUUAACAAAGGGUUUAUUUGGUACACAAAUCAGUGUUGAUGGGUUUUUUAUUUUGUGUGUGUGUGUGUGUGUGUGUGUGUGUGUGUGCAUUUUGUUUUGUUCUUUUCGGUGUUAUGUUCUUUUUAGCCUGAUGAGUAGUGCUAAUUUUAACUUAAGUUUCAAAUACUGAUUGAUAUUUAUAACAUACACCUUUAAUGUGGUUACAAAAUAAACAAAAACAGACCAUUAAGCCAAAUGAAGAAAUAAUAUAGAUAAAAUGUUCCAGUUUUCUGAGCUAGGUCUGAUAACCCAAUUUAUAUACUUUAGAAAUUUUACCUAUCUUGUGUGUAAAUGAACUGGAUAAUUGCAACAUAUUCCAUAUUUUUUCCAUUAAGGUAGAAGAAAAAAGUGGAAUUUAUAUUUGUAAUCAUAGAAGGUGUUAGUAAUACUCUGGAACGUAAAGCAACUUCGUGAGUGCUUGUCUUUCAGUAAACAUUUACAAUUUAAUGAUAAAUACAUUUGCAUAUUUAAGGCCAAAUUUGAAAUAGUCUGAUGUGAUGCUGCAAUUCCUUCUGGUCUCAGCUAAAUUGCAUGUGAUUAACUAAUAAAAGUUGACACUGAACUCAUUUUGGAUUUUAAAUGUAAAACAUAUGUGGCAAAAGCUGGUUUCACAUAUGUGAAACACCUCAAAGCUGUAUAUAUCAAUAUUUAUUUAGGUCCACUUUCAUAAGUCUUUGCGUAAUGAUCCUAAAAUUAAAUUAGUGGCCUUUAGAAAGUUACUAUGACAAUGUCCAAACAGAAUUGAGAUCUCACAAAUAAAAUCCUGAGUUAAGGCCUCUUUGCCAUCAACCUAGCACUAAAGUGUCUUCUGAAAGAUGUCACCAUGAAAAAAAAAAAGAAAGAAAGAUAUCAACAUGGAGAGAUGUUUGUUUGGCCUUUCAUCCUGCUACCAAACGAAUGUACACAGUUCAGCUGAUGUCUUAGAAGCUGUUACAUUGUGCACGCAGAGACAAGGGUUCUGCUUUUCUUGCUAACCAGUAUAAAUUGCUGUUGUUUAAUCUCUAGAUCUGGCCCUGGAAGAGGUUAUGGUCAUGAGUACUUAUCUGGGAGAGGAAAAGACAGAGUCAGGGUGGGAGAGGGGGACAGAGAGAAGGAAGGCAAGGGCUCAAGAGAACCACAGAUGGGAGGAAAGGGUCUACCUCUGUGCCGGGGAGUCUCAGAUUGUGAACAUUGAUCUCAUGGUGCGGGUAAAUCCAGGGAUGAAAUAGAACUAUUUUUCUUACUACAUACAUAGUACGUAAAUGCAAACUAACUAUAGUAUUCUGGAUAACCAAAGAAGCCACAUUUAAAAAGAAAAGUAAAGGGGUGCCUGGGUGGCUCAGUCGGUGAAGCAUCUGACUUAGGCUCAGGUCAUGAUCUCACGGUUUGUGAGUUUGAGCCCCGCAUUGGGCUCUGUGUUGACAUCUCAGAGCCUGGAGCCUGCUUCAGAUUCUGUGUCUUCCUCUUUCUCUUUCCCUUCCUUGCUCUCUCUGUGUCUCUGUCUCUCUCUCUCAAAAAUAAAUAAACAUUAAAAAAUUUAAAAAAUAGUCUAAAAAUAGUCUACCUUUUUUAGACUGAAUGAAACACCUCUGCUUGGUCUUCAAGUUGGCCCCUUCCCUAGAGAUUUUGCCAGUGGUAAAACUUAACGAGUCUUGAUUUUUACUACAUUUGGUUGCUUAAAACCUUACCAGCUCCCAGUGGAUGCAGCUUCACCUGCUGGGAAAUGAGAGCCACACCACUGAAACUGUGGUCCAUUGGCCAGAUCCUUCUGAGAAUGGUUUGAUACCACUUAGAAAACACAGAAGUUUGAAAAUUAAGAGCAAGCAUUUAAAAAUUUUUAUAAAACUUUAACAGUCAUUUUGUGCCUGUUGACUCAAUAAAAUAUGGCUGUGUUAAUUUUUUUUUUAUUUCUUUAGCUAUUUAUUGUUAGUGUGAAUUUUAAAAUAUCAGUUCAUGACUACUUGGGAAAGAAUAAUAGUCUGGCUCUUCACCAGGAUUAGUCUGAGAAGCACUGGGCUAAAUCUGAUCAAUAGUAAAGUGUAUUGUUUUUCUACUACCUCGAAGCAUCAAGAUUAUAAUGAAGUUGCUUAAUUAUAUCCCCAAAGGAUCUUAUAUUUGAUUAACAGAUUUCUUCCUUUCUUUAAGAUAAUUGUUAAAUAUUUAUGUGAGAACAUUCUGCAUGCAAGAAGUCAUAUUUAAACACUAAAUGGAAUGUCAAUAGAACUCCAUUUAUAAAACUCUAAUUUUAUUUUACUUUAAACCCAAUUUCUCCUUGCUGUUACUGCUUAACUGCUAGAGUACAUAGGAUUUGUAUGUGGUGAUCUCUAAAAAUUUAUUACAAAACUUAAGAAAUACUAACUUAUGAAUUCAAUAUAUGAUUUCUCCUGAAAAUCUUGAAUUUCUGCACUUAGAAAUUAUACAUGUAUGGUCUUGGAUAAAGACCAAAAAAUUGAAAGAUCUCUUCAUAAACUGGAAUAAGGAAAUAAUUUAUUGACCGUUAUGUUUACAAAGUAUCUUAUUUUAGCAACCACUUGUCUGUUUUCCAAUUCUUACAAGUGAAAAUUAUUCCUGAUAGCUGAUUCUUACAGCUAAGGGUAAGAGAUAUGCAAACAAGACUGCUUUUAAUUUUGGAAAGCAAGCCAGACGAAAUUUAAACAUAGACAUCAAUAGAGAAAAGUGUUCUCUAAUUUGUCACUAAGUCCUUGCUCUUAUAUUAAAACCAGCAAUUCGUGAAACCCUCACAAAGAGUCAUUGUUUGCUGUGCGUGUGGCAGGCUGGUAAUUGCUUUAUAAAAUGUAUUAUUAAAUUGCUGUUACUGCCAUCUAGUGGGAAAAAAUAAUCCAUGUCACCAUGUCAAGGAUUGUAUCCAAAGCCCUAAAGUUCUAGGACUAAAGGGAAAACCACCUUGUGUGCGUAUUGCAGGAAGUAAAACAGCAAACAAAGGUAUGCCCUGGAACAUAAUAGAUAUCUAGUCCCUGAAUGAGUUAAAGAGGUCUGUGGGGAGACAAAAGGGUGUGAAGGGGUGUGUGCAUUUAGGAUUCAUUUUGUGUAGAACCAAGUAACACAUAAAAUGUGAUGUCCCACUGAAUAUAGCGAGGUUACAGAACAUUCUUAUUACUGUAUACUUAUUUUUUUUUACCUGUUGGAAUGUAGAUUAAGUGGUUGGCAUAUGCUUUGUCUUAAAAAUUAAGAUACCUUAGAUCAGUUCUUCUCAAACUGUAAGGGACAUAGGAAUCCAUCACCUAGAAAUAUCAUUGUAAUGCAGAUUCAGACUCAAUACCACAUUGCCUGAGGUUUGGCACUUCUAAGGGCUCUCAAGUGAUGUCCAUGUUGCUCUUUGUGAUGAGGCCGUACUUUGAGCAGUUAUAUCCUUUCAGUAGGUUAUCAUGGGGAAGGUGUCCAGAAAUGAAGCAGACCCCCCACAAAGUACACUUCACUGUAUCUCAUCUUGUUGUAAUCUAGUAGAGUAGUUCUUUCAAUGGCCUGUAGAGUCCAACUGCCAAAUUUGUUUCUUGACUCUGUUGCUUACUAUGUGGGUAACCUUGGGCAAGAUACGUAGCUAACAUCUCUAAGCCUCAAUUUCAUAAUCGGUAAAAUAAAAUAGUAGUCAUACCAGCAUCCCAUGGUUUUUGUGGGGAAUAAAUGCACUAAAAAAUCUCAUAAGGAGCCAUAGGAAAUUCCCUUUUUAGAGAUUAAAAAUAAGCAUCCACAAUUUUAUAUAGUUAAAACUAACUGUUUAAAUUAUGUAGCAUAAUGUCUAACACACAUAGUGGCUGAUAAAUGUUAGUAUCACCAACAUGUGUCACAGAGUAAAUUUUUGGACAUAUGAGUAUACUCACACUCUUGAAAGUUGUAUUCAAAGAAGAGAGAAUUUGAAAUUUCUAUAAAAAAAGCUUGAUGUAAACAUGUGAGAGAUGUUGCCUUGAGGUUUCACUGAAAGAUAAAAUGGCUAAGAAAUUUGUGAAUUACCUUGUAAACAAAUCCAGUUAGGUGUGGGAAAUAAAAAGAACCAUAUUCAAUAAGAAAUAUUGGGAUUAUUUACUUUUGCCUUUUUGUACUACCUGGAACCUAGUCUGGAAUGGAAGUGGAAUGCAUUUAUUUUUUUUUUAAUGUUUUCAACAUUUAUUUAGUUUUGAGAGAGAGAGAGAGAGAGAGAGAGACAAUGCGAGCAGGGGAGGGGCAGAGAGAGAGGGAGACACAGAAUCCGAGGCAGCUUCCAGGCUCUGAGCUGUCAGCACAGAGCCACCGCAGGGUUCAAACUCACGAACCGUGAAAUCAGCCGAAGUUGGACACUGAACCGACUGAGCCACCCAGGCACCCCAGAAUGCAUUAAUUUUUUCGUGCAGUUUUAAGUUCAGAGAAAAAUUGAAAAGAAGGUAUGGAGAUUUCCUGUAUAUCCUACCCCCACACAAGUGUAGAAGCUUCCGUUUCUAAAGUCCCCACCAGAGUGGUACAUUUGUUACAGCUAAUAAACCUGUGUUGACACAUCAUUAUAAGUCAAAAUCCAUAGUUUACAUUAGAGCUUACUCUUUAUUGUGUUCUAUAGAUUUGGACAAAUGUAUAAUGACAUGUAUUUACCAUUAGAGUAUCAGACGGAGUAAUUUCACAGCCCUAAACCUCCUGUGUGCUCUGCCUUUCAUCCCCCUCCUCUCUAUUAACCCCUGAUCUUUUGACUGUUUCCAUAGUUCUGCCUUUUUUGGAAUGUCAUAUAGUUGGAGUCAUGCAGUAUAUGGCCCUUUCAGAUUGGCUUCUUUCACACAGCAAUAUACAUUUAUUGUCUUUUUAUGGCUUGAUAGCUCAUUUCUUUUUAGUGUUGAAUAAUAUUCCAUUGUCUGGAUGUACCACAGUUUAUUGAUCUGGGAAAUGUAUUUUUAUUCAGCACCAAAUUCAUAUCACGCAGCAGCACAUAUAAAGUGUAAGGACAUAAAAGGGCAUAGAUUCUGGAUAAAUUUAAUAUUAUUAUAAAUCUGUUGUAGGAAAAUAGGCCAUCAGAUAUAUGAGCUGUCAUGUCUUUCUUAUGCUAUAUUUUACAUGAUUUAAUAAGCUAUGUUACAUUUCUUUGUUGUAUGCUUAAUUAUAAAAAUGUGUGAUAAAUUAUUCAUAUUUACAUAGUUUUGCUUCAAAAAAUAAGAUUUUAGCAUUGUAAUUGAUGAAAUGAUGACAACUUUCAUCCAUUUAGGUGAAGUCAUUUCUAGUUAAUUUUUUUAAUUUCUGUUUUCUUUUGAGUAAAGUUAGUACCUUUGCUUAUAUGAAUAGAUAUUUUAAAUUUUGUCCCUCGGUUUUGUUUUUUUUUAAGUUUAUUUAUUUUGAGAGAGAGAGAGAGGAGGAGGAGAGUGUAUACACAUGAGCAGGGGAGGGACAGAGAGAGGGAGAGAGAGAAUCUCAAGCAAGAUUCACACUGUCAACAGAGCUUGACUCAGGUUCAAAGUUAUGAACCAUGAGAUCAUGACGUGAGCUGAAAUUAAGAGUCAGAUGCUUAACCAACUGAGCCACUCAGGCACCCCUGACUCUCAGGUUUUAAGCUUUGCCUAAGUGUACUUAUUUUUGCUUUUAUAAAGUAUUGUUGGUGAACUGGAGAGAAGUAUGUAAAGAAUUACAAAAAUCUAAAAUUUUAAAUUAUGGGUUACAGUCAGGGUAAGAUGCUAUUAAUGUAAAUUUAUGUUAAUGAGUAUUUAUGCAUGCUUCAAGUGAGACAUAACAUAUUUUAACUCUGAAAAUUCUUUCUCUAAAAUUUGAGAAUUUGAAUUUUUUCCAACCAUUUCAUGUACAUAAAUGGUGAGUUAAAAACUAGUUUUAUAAUAAAAGUAAUUUUUAUUACCAUGUACUUUAAUGACUCAUGUUCUAAGUUGCAAGGAUAAUGGCAAGAAAAAUGUAAUCUAUCCCACAUGGACAGCCUAAUGCAGUUAAAUUAUUAAACCAUAUUUACUGGAUGAUGUAACUCAAGCUGAUAUUAUAUAAAGGGAUCAAGGCUUACUGAAUUCUAUUCCCUAAAGAUGCAAUACAUGGGAUCUGUAUUGGAUACAUAUUCAGAUACAUAAUAUUCUGGAUGCAUAAAUAAGAAUUGGAAAUAGGGACUUGAACAGAGAGUUAUUUACCUAAGUUUAUAGCAGUAUUAUUUGUGAAAACCAUUAUUGUGUUGAAAGAUUCAAAUGUUCAAUGAUGCAUGAAUGAAAAAAAACAAAUGUGGCAUAUACAUAUGCUAGAAUAUUAUUCAGCCUUAAAAGGAAUGGAAUUCUGAUACAUAGUAUAGCAUGGAUGAUCCUUGAAGACAUUAUGUUGAGUGAAAUAAACCAGAUAUACAAGAAUAGAUACUGUAUGUUUCCAAUUAUAUAAGGUAAGGAGAAUAGUCAAAUCCAUAAAGACAGGAAGUAGAACAGUGGUUACCGGGGGCCCGGGGAAGGGUGAGAGGGGGAGUUACUGUUUAAUGUGUACAGAUUUUCAGCUUGGGAUGAUGAAGGAAUUCUGGAGAUAUAUGGUGGUGAUGGUUGCACUACAGUGUAAAUGUGCCUAAUGCCACUGAACUAUAGUUAAAUGGUUAAACUGAUAAAUUCUAUGAUAUUAUGUAUAUUUUAGCAUAUUAAUAACAUUCUAAAAAAGACUACCAAAGUCCCAGGUAUAAUACAACACAGAGGUGUUUUUUAGGAACCACACAAUUCAUCAAAAAAACAAAACAAAACAAAAUUAGUCUAGUCUUAUACCUGUACUCCCAAAUUUGAGUAUGAAUUUAUGUUUGCCACAUGUUAAGAUAGAUAAAGGAAAAAAAAAAAAAGAAAGUGAAGGUACUGUAAGCUUUAUCUACAAAGUUCAAUACCAGUCUUCUAUGAUAAAGAGUAAGAGUGAAUAUGAUCACACACAAAGAAUGUAGAAAGUAAGGCAGGAAAGCACUUACCUGAAUCCCCUUGGGCAACAUUAAUUAGCACUCAGUGUAUCUCAGCUUCCUCUUUAUAAGAUUGGACACUAUGGAAAUUACAGGAGAAUUAAAGACACCCAUCAUCAUCUCAGAGACAUAGCAAGUUCUGAAUGAUGAAUGUUUAUAAUUGUUCUUUCCCUGCUGUUGUAAUUGUUCCUGCUGGAGCUUUCAAGAUAUAGAAAUAUAAAUUUGGCAUAAAUAAUAAGAAAUUCAGCUCAGUACUGUUCCAUAAAUAUAUGGAGUAUAGAGUCACAAGAAUGUGCUUUAGGACAAAAAUACAAAUAUGUUAUAAAAGAUUAAACACAAGUAUGAAAGCCAGAAGGUCACUCCUACCUUUUACACUCCAUCCCUACUAUCGGAGAGAUAGAAUGAAUAAUAAUAUCACCAAUUAUUCCAUUAUGGCAUUUCCAGCUUACUAUGUAAUUUCACAUGUGACUUCAUUUCACCAUCACAUCAACCCUUCAAAAUCUCUCUGACCAAAUGUCACUUUACCUUAUUUUUAAAGAGGGCUUCAUGCCCAACAUAGAAUCCAACAUGGGGCUUAAGCUCACGACCCUGAGACCAAGACCAGAACUGAGAUCAAAAGUCAGACACUUAACUGACUGAGAUAUCCAGGCACCCGGGCAAAAUGUUAUUUUAAAAAUUCAUUAAAAAAUAGGGGCACCUGGGUGGCUCAGUCAGUUAAGCAUCAGACUCUUGAUUUCGGCUCAGGUCAUGAUCUCAUGGUCGUGGGAUCAAGCCCCACAUCAGACUCCUGCUGAGCGUGGAGCCUGCUUAAGAUUCUCUCUCCCUCUGCCCCUCUCUUCUACUCACACUCUUUCUCUCUCAAAUGAAUGAAUGAAUAAAUAAAUAAAUAAAUAGUAAAAAACAAUAAAAAAAUAACAAUAAAAAUUCCCAAAAUAAAGCAGAGAUACGAUUGGCAAAGUCAUAAGGUUAGUAAGUGACACAGUGAGGACUAAACAUCAGGACUUCUCAUUCCAAGUCCAACAUCUUCUUCAUGCCCUGCUGCAUAUUUACAGUAGGUAUGGACCAAGUAUUGGAAAUCUUGUGGUUUCAUCAUAUUGAAUUCUUAGUCCACGAGUUUAUUGAAGGUAAAAAUGGUGACAAAGAAUACAUUAAUUCACAACUUAAAGUUUCUUUCAAUAGAAAUUCUUUUUUUUUUAAGUUUAUUUAUUUUGAGAGAGAGGGCACAAGUUGGGGAGGAACAGAGAGAGAGGGACAGAGAGAGAAUCCCAAGCACGUUCUGCACAGCACAGAGAUUGAUGUGGGGCUCAAAUUCACCAACUGUGAGAUCAUGAUCUGAGCCAAAAUCAAGAGUCAGAUGCUCAACAGACUGAGCCACCCAGGCACCCCUCGACAGAAAUUCUUGUACAUAGGUGCUCCAAUCAAUGGAAAGUCAUACUUCUCAGUAGCAGCUUCAGUUUUGACAAUCCUAAGGGGCAGAGACUUAAAAUUUCAGCAGAGUUUAGAUAAAAUAAUUUUUAGCCCUAAAUUUUGAAGUGCCAGAUUUGAAGCUGGUAGCAAGAGUUGAAUUGCAAAUCUCUCACAAUGCCACCAUGGAAAGACAUAAUACACACAAUUUUGAAUAGCUCCUUUAAAAAUUUUUUUGCUAUGCAUAUAUAUUUUUCCACAUACAAAUUUGUCUAAGCAGUAUAAUCAUUGUCUGCCUUCUUAUUUUGGAUUGCUCUUUCAUUUCUAUUCCCCAAGGUUUUGCUUUAUGGACGUGCAGGCAGAUUUUUACCAUCACAGCUCCAUCUAGAAUUGUUCAUAUAUGAUCAGUGCUCUGAAACUCUGGUUAUCAGCAUUAUUUUACUUUAGAAAACAGACUGGUUUGGUUUUAUGUGGGAACGUUUUAUAACUGGAUUGCUGUGCUGAUGCAGUAUGUUGGUGAGCAAUGGUUUGAAGACCACAUUUAUUGUAUAAACGUUUAUGUAUUUUGUUUUUGUACUUCUUUGUAAGAUUAGAACUUUUUUCAGUAUGGGUGUAGAGAGGGACUGUCAUUUGUUAUGUUAAUUGUUCCAUACCACCUUAAAGUUUAUUAUUUCUCCAAAGGAAAUGGAAACUUUGUUCUUUAAAAAGACCUGUGUAAAACCCAAAUGACUUCCCCUGCGUUUAGAAUACUCCAUUUUCUAGAUAGAUGAUAUAAAAAACGUGCAUGUGUACAGCCAAUCCUGUAUUAGGCAACAACUCCAGGGACCAGCAAAAUUGGCUGCCUGAGAAAGAUGUAUAGUUAAAGAUUGAGCAAAAGUGUCCUUGAAAUUUAGAAUACAUUUAAAGCAGCAUAUAAAUCAUCAAUGAUCCGUGUAGCUGAUGACAGGAAGAAGACAAAAUUUAAAAUUAACCUGAAAAAUGGACUUUAGGUAAGAUCCUAAAGAAAAAAACAUAGAAGCAAAGCUUAUUGCUUCAGAUUACUGAUGUAAAAUUCUGCUAGAUAGUGUGCUAAUUAUAUGACACCAAAAUAAUAGCAAGAGUUAAUGAAAAUGUUGCUCAAUAAAUUGUUCAAUAUUGUAUCUGUUUUAUGAAUGGUAAAUGUUUAUGGUGAAAAUGGAAAAUGCAGCUGAACAAGAAAUAGGGAAAUUAUUCAUAAUCACUGCUUUGAAUGUAAGCUAUACUCAUUUUGGUAUACAAUGUUUCAUACAUUUUUCUAUGCAUAUAUACAUCUUUACAUACAUCAGUUGGUCCAUAUUGUAUGCAUUCUUUUAUAAUCAGCAUUUUUAAUGUAUACUAGAGAUAACUUUUGAUAUCUAUAGUUUUUGAGAAUUUUGAGUAUUUUUUAAUAAGCAACAUAAUUAAUACUUAAGAAUGUAGCCCCUCCCUGUUGCUUUUCACAACAUAUCUAUUUGGAAAAGAUAGGAAAGUACAUUCUGACAUAGUGUUUUCCUGGUAAUCCCACACACGUUCCUUGUAGCCCAGGGGAUUGUGGGUGUAACCUUCCAGCAUGGCAUCUGUGUUUAAGCUGUAGGUCCUGAGCACAUUUUAAAAUCAUUGUGGAUAGUGGAGAUUGGGCAUGUUGGGGAGCUGAGACCAGCCCACUUGAAGGACAUGUAGAAUAUAGGGAUAAGCCUGCUUCAAAGGGACGUGAAGAGGAACUAGAAAGUACUUUGAUAUUAGGGAGGAUGACCUCAGGCAGAGGUGUCAAAAAUUGGAGAAGCAUGAAUUGUCACAGCGUGCAGUUCAUCUGUCUGUAAACUCGAUGACAACUAAGGUCCAGGAUCUAAGAGACUAUAAAAUAGAUAUGAGCCGUAAUAACAGAUUUUAAAAGUCCUUCACAUCUAUUAAUUCUAUUCAUAGUUACUGAGCAUGGGAUGACUAUACACUAUCUCUAGCUUCAAGCAGUUUAUAAUCUAUACAGUGUAAUAAGACAUGAUUGUCCAGUGAGGUAGUACAAGGCAGUAUAUAUGCCAUGUGAUCUAGGAGUACGUGCUAUAGGAAUUCAUGUAAUGACAGGUUACUUCUGACUUUGGCAAUCUAGAAAUUUAUGAUGACAAUAGCAACUGAUAUUGACAAGUAUUUUAUAAGCUUCAUUGAAGCUUAGCCUCACAGCAACAGUAUGAGAUAAGCUGUUAUUAUCAGGAAGACAGUGUGUAUGGUGGUUACAGUCUCGGAGCCAGAAUGUCUGGGAUUGUAUCCCAGCCACUUACUAUUGUGGCUUUUGGCAAUUUAUUUAACUCUCUGUGUUUCAGUUUUCUCAUCCAUAGGAAAGAAGUAAUGAUAGGAUCUACCUCAUAGAGUUGUAAAGACUAUUUUAAUAGGCGUAAAGUAUUUUGAAUGAACCCUACAAAUGUCAGUUAUUAUUAGUUUCAUUUUUUUGUGCCAAAGAAUAAGGUUUAGACAAUUUAGGUAAUAUACCCAAGUUAUGCAAGCUGUAAAUGGUGGAACCAGGAGUCCAGUCCAGCUUUGUUCUCUCCUGAAUCUGCAUUCUUAAUUUAACCACUUUGAUGCUUCAAACUUUAAGCAUGAAACAAAUGAGUCAAAGACAAGGAUUUUGAUCACGAAUAACUAGAAUCAUUACAAAAAUAAGGUAGAGACUAUGAAAGGGUUGGUUUUUUGUUUUUUUCUGCGGAUUUUUUUGGUUGCUAUUGUUUUUGGAAGGAAGAACAGUUCAAUUUAAAAUGUCUUGAAAUGGAACUGGUGCCAAGGCAUUCAGGGCAAAAUAUGUAGCUGUUAGCUAGAAAUCCAGGACUGGAAUUUAGGAAAGAGUAGGAGUGGAGAUUCAGGAGAUACACCUGUGUAAACUCAGCAAUGAAGGCCGUGAGAGUAGAUAAGAUUGGCAGGGAGAGGAGAUAAGAUAAUUUUUAAAGCAAAAAAUAAUAAUAAUAAAAAGAAGGCCAAAGUCAGAAGUCAUUGUCUUAUUAACCAUGGCAAAGAGAAACUAUGAAAAGGAUUCAAAGGUAAAGUUGACAGAGUCCAACUGGAGACGAUGUCACCCUGUUAGCAUGGGAGGAGCAAGCCCAGGCAUGUCAGUGAGGAUAGAGUGGAACCUCAUCACAACCAUGUGUGUAGAGAGAAAAGGCAGUUCCAAUCUGUUGGCCUGGAAAUUGCUCAUGAGGUACAGGCCUCAGGGAUUUUGAUGAGUCUGGCAAUGUUUUUGUUUUGUUUUUGUGUUUUUUUUUCUUUUGGUGGGGGGAGAUGGGAGUAGGUAGAAGUAGGGUUGAGAGAGUGCUACUUUUAGCACAACUCAAAUAUACCAAAGUUCCACUUAUUUGGGUCCGUCCCAGGCCUGUAAUGUAUUUUACUGUGACGAACUUGAGCUAUGUCAGAGUCAUCUGAAAUUGUGGUGGGAUCAAUAGUUUCAUCAGGUCUUUUAGAUGGAAAAGUGCUGUCCUAGAGAUAACCACAUUCACUCUCUUUCUGACCACACUUUCUUAGAAAUACUAGAGAUCUGGAACCACAGGAACAUGAACAAAGAGCUUUUUAAUCCACACACUUUUACAAUCCUAGACCCAUGUGACUGUUCAAAUUUAAAUUGAUUAAAAUUAAAUAAAAUGUAAAAUUCAGCUUCUCAAUUGUAUUCUCCAUAUCUCAGGUGUUCAAAAGACACCUGGGGCUUUUGACUAUCAUAUUGGGUGUUAAAAAACUGUAGAAUAUUUUCAUCAUCCCAGAGAGUUCUAUUGGACA
This is a long non-coding RNA of Acinonyx jubatus (cheetah), 21263 nucleotides long. RefSeq lists it as uncharacterized. The record is from RefSeq and is a predicted model, not a curated record. Lineage: Eukaryota; Metazoa; Chordata; Mammalia; Carnivora; Felidae. The transcript has 8 exons.